GAAGACGCUAUUGAGUCUACCAUUAUCCAACGUUGCUCUGCUCUUCUUUUCGACGUUGCUCUGGCUCUCCUCUUCCACGUUGCUUUGUUUUCAUCUUCUGUUGUGCUCUACUCUCACUCACUCAAGGUUUCAACUCUCUUCUUCUCUUUACACUCUUCUUCUCUAUUUGUCUCUCUCCUUGGUGAUAUUUGAUGGGUUCAAUUUGCUAUUUCUUAGUUUGAUUUUUAAGUUUUGAUUUUGUGGUUGUUUGUAGUUAGCUUAAUUUGAUGAGAAUUAACAUUUGUGUUGGUUAAUUUUCAUUGAAUUAUAAUUGGGUAUUUUUCUAGGGUUUUCAAUUUUGAAUUGUUUUGAUUAUGGGGUUUUUGUUUGGAAUAAGAAGAAUAAAAGGGUAUAGGUCAUGUGGCUAAUUGCAUGUUGUGUUUGCAAACAGACAUUUGGUUUUUGCAAACUGUGAUUGUAAUUGCAUGUUGUAUUUGCAAUUACUUAGUGAUGGUUUGGCAAUUUGCAUUAGGAAAGUUGAGCUCUCACAUUUUGGAAAUGUUCUAGGCAAUUUGUGGUUUUUGUUUCAUGGAUUAUAAUUGGAUGCUUUUCUAUGGUUAAUUUUUAUUGGAUUAUAAUUGGGUAUUUUUAAAUUGUUUUGAUUAUGAGGUUUUUGUUUAGAAAAAGAAGAAAUGAAUAAAUUGAUGGGUGGAAUUGGAGCUUUGAGCAAAGUUAAUGAAAGUCAUUGUCGUUUGCAUAAUACUUUUAGAAGGGCCUACUUUUAGAUAUUAGCAAGUGAGAAGAAAAAAAAUAGGGAAUCAAAUUUCUUCCAUGCACCAUCAAUUUGCUCAAAGUUAAGCAAUUUAUAAAAGUUGAAUAUCUUUAGAAGGGCCUACUUUGUCUUAUUUAUUGGCUUAAAGCCGCAUGGGUUAGAAAUUGGUUGUUGCAGAGUCUUAUGAAAUCAAAUAACUAAUUCUGACAUCGGCCCUUUGCAGAAAAGUCUUGGAUCAAAUGAAAGAAACACAGCUAAAUUAUCUUAUAUAAACUAUGAAAUUAGGGAGACUUGGUUUUCUUAAAGAAAUUUCUAAUAGGAAUAAGUAGAGUUGAUGUGCCCAAUUUGCUUGCUAUUCUCAUUUCCUAAUAGUUUUCAAUUGCUCAUGGAUGUUCUAUAAUUUCUCUAUGGGUGGCUAGGCAUAACUUUUUGUUAGAUGCUGGUUUUUCUUUUUCAUGGUGAUUGGCACUUUGUUGGUUUGUAUAUAUAUUAUCUAAACAUAUACUUUGUUGGUUUGCAAAAAUACACAUGCUUAAUUUUUGUUGGUUUCUAUGAUUUAUGAGAUAUGAAUCGAAGAAAGCUUUUGUUGAUAUUAUUGAUGGAGAUGUGGCAUUUAGAGACAAUGUGUGGUUGCACAAUUCUUGUGCUUAUGAUGUUCAAAAUGAGGAGAAAUCAAUAGCUUAUAUCAACGGCUUAGUUUGGAAUUGUGGAUGUUUAUUUAUAUAUGUUAUUUAG
This 1486-nucleotide long non-coding RNA is filed under the name Prunus dulcis (almond). RNAcentral's name for it is "sRNA ncRNA". Lineage: Eukaryota; Viridiplantae; Streptophyta; Magnoliopsida; Rosales; Rosaceae. The record is from RNAcentral.